RNAcentral lists this ribosomal RNA (270 nucleotides) under uncultured soil bacterium. RNAcentral describes it as "partial 16S ribosomal RNA". It matches the Rfam family "Bacterial small subunit ribosomal RNA", at positions 26 to 279 of the family's 1533-position model. The record is from RNAcentral.
AGAAUCAACGCUGGCGGCGUGCCUCAGACAUGCAAGUCGAACGCGGAAGUUUCCUUCGGGAAAUGAGUAGAGUGGCGCACGGGUGAGUAACACGUAGGUAAUCUACCUUUGGAUGGGGAAUAACAACCGGAAACGGUUGCUAAUACCGCAUAAUGCAGCGGCACCUAAUGGUGACAGUUGUUAAAGCGGGGGAUCGAAAGACCUCGCGUCUGAAGAGGAGCCUGCGGCGGAUUAGCUAGUUGGUAAGGUAAUGGCUUACCAAGGCUACGA